Molecule: ribosomal RNA, 2274 nt
Filed under: Salmonella enterica subsp. enterica
Lineage: Bacteria; Pseudomonadati; Pseudomonadota; Gammaproteobacteria; Enterobacterales; Enterobacteriaceae
Description: partial 23S ribosomal RNA
Rfam family: Bacterial large subunit ribosomal RNA
Source: RNAcentral
GUUAAGCGACUAAGCGUACACGGUGGAUGCCCUGGCAGUCAGAGGCGAUGAAGGGCGUGCUAAUCUGCGAUAAGCGCCGGUAAGGUGAUAUGAACCGUUAUAACCGGCGAUACCCGAAUGGGGAAACCCAGUGUGAUUCGUCACACUAUCAUUAACUGAAUCCAUAGGUUAAUGAGGCGAACCGGGGGAACUGAAACAUCUAAGUACCCCGAGGAAAAGAAAUCAACCGAGAUUCCCCCAGUAGCGGCGAGCGAACGGGGAGGAGCCCAGAGCCUGAAUCAGCAUGUGUGUUAGUGGAAGCGUCUGGAAAGGCGCGCGAUACAGGGUGACAGCCCCGUACACAAAAGCGCAUGUGCUGUGAGCUCGAUGAGUAGGGCGGGACACGUGGUAUCCUGUCUGAAUAUGGGGGGACCAUCCUCCAAGGCUAAAUACUCCUGACUGACCGAUAGUGAACCAGUACCGUGAGGGAAAGGCGAAAAGAACCCCGGCGAGGGGAGUGAAAAAGAACCUGAAACCGUGUACGUACAAGCAGUGGGAGCACCCUUCGGGGUGUGACUGCGUACCUUUUGUAUAAUGGGUCAGCGACUUAUAUUCUGUAGCAAGGUUAACCGUAUAGGGGAGCCGGAGGGAAACCGAGUCUUAACCGGGCGUUAAGUUGCAGGGUAUAGACCCGAAACCCGGUGAUCUAGCCAUGGGCAGGUUGAAGGUUGGGUAACACUAACUGGAGGACCGAACCGACUAAUGUUGAAAAAUUAGCGGAUGACCUGUGGCUGGGGGUGAAAGGCCAAUCAAACCGGGAGAUAGCUGGUUCUCCCCGAAAGCUAUUUAGGUAGCGCCUCGUGAAUUCAUCUCCGGGGGUAGAGCACUGUUUCGGCUAGGGGGCCAUCCCGGCUUACCAACCCGAUGCAAACUGCGAAUACCGGAGAAUGUUAUCACGGGAGACACACGGCGGGUGCUAACGUCCGUCGUGAAGAGGGAAACAACCCAGACCGCCAGCUAAGGUCCCAAAGUCAUGGUUAAGUGGGAAACGAUGUGGGAAGGCCCAGACAGCCAGGAUGUUGGCUUAGAAGCAGCCAUCAUUUAAAGAAAGCGUAAUAGCUCACUGGUCGAGUCGGCCUGCGCGGAAGAUGUAACGGGGCUAAACCAUGCACCGAAGCUGCGGCAGCGAACGUAUCACCCAAGACAACUUUACGGAGUUGACGAUUGACGGAGCGAAGCGACGUCAAAGCGUUCAUUAAAGUCGAGUUGGCUUAGGGAUACGUUCGUUGGGUAGGGGAGCGUUCUGUAAGCCUGUGAAGGUGUGUCGUGAGGCAUGCUGGAGGUAUCAGAAGUGCGAAUGCUGACAUAAGUAACGAUAAAGCGGGUGAAAAGCCCGCUCGCCGGAAGACCAAGGGUUCCUGUCCAACGUUAAUCGGGGCAGGGUGAGUCGACCCCUAAGGCGAGGCCGAAAGGCGUAGUCGAUGGGAAACGGGUUAAUAUUCCCGUACUUGGUGUUACUGCGAAGGGGGGACGGAGAAGGCUAUGUUGGCCGGGCGACGGUUGUCCCGGUUUAAGCGUGUAGGUGUGUGUUCCAGGUAAAUCCGGUUCACUUUAACACUGAGGCGUGACGACGAGGCACUACGGUGCUGAAGCAACAAAUGCCCUGCUUCCAGGAAAAGCCUCUAAGCAUCAGGUAACAUCAAAUCGUACCCCAAACCGACACAGGUGGUCAGGUAGAGAAUACCAAGGCGCUUGAGAGAACUCGGGUGAAGGAACUAGGCAAAAUGGUGCCGUAACUUCGGGAGAAGGCACGCUGACACGUAGGUGAAGUGAUUUACUCAUGGAGCUGAAGUCAGUCGAAGAUACCAGCUGGCUGCAACUGUUUAUUAAAAACACAGCACUGUGCAAACACGAAAGUGGACGUAUACGGUGUGACGCCUGCCCGGUGCCGGAAGGUUAAUUGAUGGGGUCAGCGUAAGCGAAGCUCCUGAUCGAAGCCCCGGUAAACGGCGGCCGUAACUAUAACGGUCCUAAGGUAGCGAAAUUCCUUGUCGGGUAAGUUCCGACCUGCACGAAUGGCGUAAUGAUGGCCAGGCUGUCUCCACCCGAGACUCAGUGAAAUUGAACUCGCUGUGAAGAUGCAGUGUACCCGCGGCAAGACGGAAAGACCCCGUGAACCUUUACUAUAGCUUGACACUGAACAUUGAGCCUUGAUGUGUAGGAUAGGUGGGAGGCUUUGAAGUGUGGACGCCAGUCUGCAUGGAGCCGACCUUGAAAUACCACCCUUUAAUGUUU